This 195-nucleotide unclassified non-coding RNA is filed under the name uncultured fungus. Its description in RNAcentral is "partial contains 18S rRNA, ITS1, 5.8S rRNA, ITS2 and 28S rRNA". Lineage: Eukaryota; Fungi. The record is from RNAcentral.
AAGGAUCAUUAAUGAUUGAACGUCUGUCGAGCUUGCUCACAGGCACAUCAUAUCCAUAACACCUGUGCACUUGUCGGAUGGCUUAGUGAAGACCGCAAGGUUGGAUCUAUCCAUCUACUUUACAUAACAAUUCUGUAACAAAUGUAGUCUUAUUAUAACAUAAUAAAACUUUCAACAACGGAUCUCUUGGCUCUC